RNAcentral lists this transfer RNA (63 nucleotides) under Dipodomys ordii (Ord's kangaroo rat). It matches the Rfam family "tRNA". From Rfam's summary of the family: Transfer RNA (tRNA) molecules are approximately 80 nucleotides in length. Their secondary structure includes four short double-helical elements and three loops (D, anti-codon, and T loops). The record is from Rfam by way of RNAcentral. Lineage: Eukaryota; Metazoa; Chordata; Mammalia; Rodentia; Heteromyidae.
GGUGGCUCAGCAGUAGAGCACGUGCCUUGCAAGCAUGAGGCCCUGGGUUCGAUUUCAGCACCA